AGGGGCAGCACGAUGUAGCAAUACAUUGGUGGCGACCGGCGCACGGGUGAGUAACGCGUAUGCAACCUACCUAUCAGAGGGGAAUAACCCGGCGAAAGUCGGACUAAUACCGCAUAAAACAGGGGUUCCACAUGGAAAUAUUUGUUAAAGAAUUAUCGCUGAUAGAUGGGCAUGCGUUCCAUUAGAUAGUUGGUGAGGUAACGGCUCACCAAGUCCACGAUGGAUAGGGGUUCUGAGAGGAAGGUCCCCCACACUGGUACUGAGACACGGACCAGACUCCUACGGGAGGCAGCAGUGAGGAAUAUUGGUCAAUGGGCGAGAGCCUGAACCAGCCAAGUCGCGUGAAGGAUGAAGGAUCUAUGGUUUGUAAACUUCUUUUAUAUGGGAAUAAAGUGAGGAACGUGUUCCUUUUUGUAUGUACCAUAUGAAUAAGCAUCGGCUAACUCCGUGCCAGCAGCCGCGGUAAUACGGAGGAUGCGAGCGUUAUCCGGAUUUAUUGGGUUUAAAGGGUGCGUAGGUGGUUAAUUAAGUCAGCGGUGAAAGUUUGUGGCUCAACCAUAAAAUUGCCGUUGAAACUGGUUGACUUGAGUAUAUUUGAGGUAGGCGGAAUGCGUGGUGUAGCGGUGAAAUGCAUAGAUAUCACGCAGAACUCCGAUUGCGAAGGCAGCUUACUAAACUAUAACUGACACUGAAGCACGAAAGCGUGGGGAUCAAACAGGAUUAGAUACCCUGGUAGUCCACGCAGUAAACGAUGAUUACUAGCUGUUUGCGAUACACAGUAAGCGGCACAGCGAAAGCGUUAAGUAAUCCACCUGGGGAGUACGCCGGCAACGGUGAAACUCAAAGGAAUUGACGGGGGCCCGCACAAGCGGAGGAACAUGUGGUUUAAUU
This 891-nucleotide ribosomal RNA is filed under the name uncultured bacterium. RNAcentral's name for it is "bacterial SSU rRNA". It matches the Rfam family "Bacterial small subunit ribosomal RNA", at positions 65 to 951 of the family's 1533-position model. The record is from RNAcentral.